This 460-nucleotide ribosomal RNA is filed under the name uncultured bacterium. RNAcentral's name for it is "partial 16S ribosomal RNA". It matches the Rfam family "Bacterial small subunit ribosomal RNA", at positions 338 to 795 of the family's 1533-position model. The record is from RNAcentral.
CCUACGGGUGGCAGCAGUGAGGAAUAUUGGUCAAUGGCCGGAAGGCUGAACCAGCCAUGCCGCGUGAAGGUCAGUGCCCUAUGGGCGUUAAACUUCUUUUGUGCGGGAGCAAUAAUGGUCACGUGUGGCCAGACGAGAGUACCGUACGACUAAGCAUCGGCUAACUCCGUGCCAGCAGCCGCGGUAAUACGGGGGAUGCAAGCGUUAUCCGGAUUUAUUGGGUUUAAAGGGUGCGUAGGCUGUGAGGUAAGUCAGCGGUGAAAUGCCCCCGCUCAACGGGGUGAAGUGCCAUUGAUACUGCCUUGCUGGAAUGCGGAUGCCGUGGGAGGAAUGUGUGGUGUAGCAGUGAAAUGCAUAGAUAUCACACAGAACACCGAUUGCGAAGGCAGCUCACGAAUACGCGAUUGACGCUGAUGCACGAAAGCGUGGGUAUCAAACAGGAUUAGAUACCCCAGUAGUC